RNAcentral lists this ribosomal RNA (253 nucleotides) under uncultured microorganism. RNAcentral describes it as "partial 16S ribosomal RNA". It matches the Rfam family "Bacterial small subunit ribosomal RNA", at positions 524 to 776 of the family's 1533-position model. The record is from RNAcentral.
GACAGAGGUGGCGAGCGUUGCUCGGAUUUACUGGGCUUAAAGGGCGCGUAGGUGGCCUUGUAAGUCAAAGGUGGAAUUCCACAGCUCAACUGUGGAACUGCCUUUGAUACUGCAAGGCUUGAGUCAGGUAGAGGGAGGCGGAAUUCCCGGUGUAGCGGUGAAAUGCGUAGAUAUCGGGAGGAAGGCCGGUGGCGAAGGCGGCCUCCUGGGCCUGCACUGACGCUGAGGCGCGAAAGCGUGGGGAGCAAACAGG